UACAGAGGUGGCAAGCGUUGUUCGGAAUUACUGGGCGUAAAGGGCUCGUAGGCGGCCAACUAAGUCAGACGUGAAAUCCCUCGGCUUAACCGGGGAACUGCAUCUGAUACUGGAUGGCUUGAGAUUGGGAGAGGGAUGCGGAAUUCCAGGUGUAGCGGUGAAAUGCGUAGAUAUCUGGAGGAACACCGGUGGCGAAGGCGGCAUCCUGGACCAACACUGACGCUGAGGAGCGAAAGCCAGGGGAGCAAACGGG
RNAcentral lists this ribosomal RNA (253 nucleotides) under uncultured bacterium. RNAcentral describes it as "partial 16S ribosomal RNA". It matches the Rfam family "Bacterial small subunit ribosomal RNA", at positions 524 to 776 of the family's 1533-position model. The record is from RNAcentral.